This is an RNA transcript of Mirounga angustirostris (Northern elephant seal), 3597 nucleotides long. RefSeq lists it as uncharacterized. The record is from RefSeq and is a predicted model, not a curated record. The transcript has 2 exons. Lineage: Eukaryota; Metazoa; Chordata; Mammalia; Carnivora; Phocidae.
AAGACAGCUGGGCUAGAAAUCAGAACCCCUGGAUCCGACCUCGAGUUCUGCUAUAUAUAUAAUAAGCCUGUGUCCUUGGACAAAGAAUUUGAUUUCAGUUUCUCCAUCCGUAGAGCAUGGAUAAUUACUUGCCCUGUUUGCCUGCAGGAUUAAUUUUUGAAACCCGAUGAAAGUAAGACUUUGAAAUGCCCCAGGUGCAGUUUGAUAGGAUUGAUGAUGAGGACGUGGCAAUGUGCAUCUCUAAGGGCUGGUACCUCAUGCCUAAUGUGAUCUGGCUUGACCCAGCAGAGAGGGACCUGAGCAACCACAGUACCGUGGAGGUCCUGGAGGAGCAGAUGAAUGGCUUCCACAGGGUGCUGUCUGUCCUGAAAUACCCUGUCAAGUUAAAUGAGAAAUGUGUCUGCUGCAUAACAGAGACAGAUGUGAACAACCAGCCCUUCAGAAUCAUCCACAAAUACCCAAGUAAGUGAGUGAAAGCAGGGUGUAUUUCACCACAAAGAAAGGAAGUAAAAUAAUAAUAAUAAUAAUAAUUAGAAGUAGUAGUAACAGUUACUUGUUAUAUCUACAUGACAGGAUUAUAGACAAUUUUUAUUUUCUUCUCUGUACUUGUCUGUCUUAUGCAACAUUCUAUAAUGAACACAUAUUAUCUUUAUAGUCCAAAAAAAGCUAUACUUUAAAAAGUCUUUUUAAACACUUUUAUAAAAUAUAACUCACAUGCUAUAAAAUUUACCCAUUUAAAAUGUACAAUUCAUUGUUUUAGUAUAUUCACAGUUGUUCGUCCAUCACCACUAUCUAAUUUUAGAACAUUUUCAUUACCCUAAAAAGAAACCCCAUCUCUAUCAUCAGUCCCUCUCCAUUCCUAUCAUCACAUCCCCUAGUCAUAGGCAAACACUAACCAUCUUUCUGAUGAUAUAGAUUUGCCUAUUUGGACCUUUCAUGUAAAUGGAAUCAUACAAUUUGUGGUAACUGACGUCUUUCAUUCAGCAUGAUGUUUUCAAGGUUCAUCAUGUUGUAGCAUGUACUGGUACUUCAUUUAUUUUUAUUGCUGAAUAAUAUUCCAUUGUAUGGCUAUACCAUAUUCUACUUAUCCAUUAAUCAGUUGAUGGAAAUUUGGGUUGUUUCUAUCUAUUGGCUACAAUGAAUGAUGCUGCUAUGAACAUUGGUGUACAAAUUUUUGUGUGAAUAUAUGUUUUCAUUUAUCUUGGUUAUACCUAGGAGUGGAAUUGCUGGAUCAUAUGGUAACUAUUUUUAACCUUUUGAGGAAUUGCCAGGCUGUUUUCCAAAGUAGCUGCUCCAUUUACACUCCCACCAAUGAAGGUUCUAAUUUCUCAGCAUCCUUGUCAGCAUUCAUUAUUGUUUUUUUUUUUUUAAUUUUAGUCAUUCUAAUGGAUAUGAAUAAUAUCUCAUUGUGGUUUUGAUUUGUAUUUGUCUGAUGGCUAAUGAUGUUGAGCAUCUUUCCAUGUGUUUAUUGGUGAUCUGUAUAUCUUCUUUGAAGAAAUAUUCAUUCAAAUCCUUUGCCCAUGAAAAAAAUGAAUUAUCUUAUUAUUGUUAAGUUGUAAGACUUCUUUAUAUAUUUUGGAUACCAGUCCCUUAUCCAAUGUAUGGUUUGCAAAUACUUCCUCCCCUUCUGUGGGUUAUCUUUUCACUUCUUGAUGAUGUCUUUUUAAGCAGUGAAGUUUCUGAUUUUUAUAAAGUCCAAUUUAUCUAUUUUUAUUGUCAUUUGUGCUUUUGGUGUCAUAUCUAGGAAAUAAUUGCCUAAUCCAAGAACACAAAGAUUUACUGCUGUGUUUUCUUCUAAGAGUCUUAUGACUUUGGCUACUAUAUUCAGGUCUAUGAUCCAUUUUAAGUUAAUUUUUGUGUAUGAUAUGAGAUAGGGGUCCAACAUAAUUUUUUAUGUGGAGAUAUUCAGUCUUCCCAGGACCACUUAUUGAAAAUACUAUUCUUUCUCCAUUGAAUUGUCUUGACUUCCUUAUCAAAAAUCACCAGACCGGGGCACCUGGGUGGCUCAGUUGUUAAGCGUCUGCCUUCGGCUCAGGUCAUGGUCCCAGGGUCCUGGGAUUGAGCCCCACAUCAGGCUCCCUUCUUGGCGGGAAGCCUGCUUCUCCCUCUCCCACUCCCCCUGCUUGUGUUCCUUCUCUCGCUGUGUCUCUCUCUGUCAAAUAAAUAAAUAAAAUCUUAAAAAAAAAAUCAUCUGACCAUAAAUAUAGGGAUUAUUUCUGGACUCUCAAUUCUAUUCCACUGAACUAUGUAUCUGUUCUUAUGCCAUGCCAAACUGUCUGGAUUGGUAUAGUUUUUUAGUAAAUUUUGACACAUGGAAGUGUCAGUACUCCAAAUUUGUUCUUCUUUUUCAAGAUUGUUUGGCUCUUUUUUUUUUUCAAGAUUUUUUUUUUUAAUUUUAUUUUAAGUAGGCCCCACACCCAAUGUAGGGCUUCAACUCAUGACCCUGAGAUCAAGCAUUCCAUGCUCCACCAAUUGAGCCAGCCAGGUGCCCCUGUUUGGGCUAUUCUUGUUUUGACAUUUCCAUAUGAAGUUUAGGAUUGACUUCUCAAUUUCUGCAAAAAAGGCAUCUGGGAUUUUGAUAGGGAUUGUGUUGAAUCUAUACAUAAUUUUUGGAGUACUGCCAUCUUAACAAUAUUGUCUUCUAAUCUAUGAACAUAGAUGUCUUUCCAUUUAUUUAGGUCUUAAUUUCUUUCAAUGAUGUUUUGUAAUUUUCAAUGUAUAAGUUUUGUACUUAUUUUGUUAAAUUUAUUCCUAGGUAUUUUAUUCUUUUUGAUGCUCUCCAAAUGCAAUUGUUCUCUCAAUUUUAUUUUUGGAAUGUUCUUUGCUAGUGUAAAGAAAUACAACUGAUUUUUGUUUGUUGAUUUUGAUUCUUGCAACCUUGUUGAAUUUAUUUAUUAGUUGUAAUAGUAAUUUUUAUGGAUUCCGUACUAUUUUCUGUAUACAAAUCAGGUUAUCUAUGGAUACAGUUUUUUUUUUUUUUCCUUUCUAAUCUGGAUUACUUAUUUUCAUUCUCUUGUCUAAGUGGCCUGACUGGAACCUCCAGUACAAUGCUGAACAGAAGUGAGAGUAAACAUUCUUGUUUUGUUCCUGAUCUCAAUGACAAAGCAUUCAUUCUUUAAUUAUUAAGUGUGGUGGUAGCUGUGGAUUUUUUGUAGAUGGACUGUUAUCAGGUUGAAAAUGUUGUCUUAUAUUACCAGUUUACUGAGUGUUUUUAUCAUGAAUGAAUUUAGGAUUUUGCCAAAUGCUUUUCCUGUAUCUAUUCAGAUGAUUGUGUUAUCUUUGUCCUUGAUUCCGUUGAUAUGGUAUAUUACACUGAUUUUUGCAUAUUGAAUUAACCUUGUAUUCCUGGAAUAUAUCACAUUUAACCAUGGUAUAUAAUCCUUUUUAUAUGUUAUUGGAUUCUGUUUGCAGGUAUUUUAUUAAAGAUUUUUGCAUCUAUACUUAUUAAAGAUACUGGUCUGUAGUUUUCUUAUGAUGUCUUCGUCUGGUUUUGGUAUCAGGAUAAUACUGGCCUCAUGGAAUAAGUUGAAAUGUGUUCCCUUAUUGUCUGUGUUCAGUGGAGGAGACUUUGUGAAGGAUUGGUGUUAAUUCUUUAAU